GCCGGAAUGGUGGAAUCGGUAGACACAAGCGACUUAAAAUCGCUCGCUGCGAAGCGUACGGGUUCAAGUCCCGUUUCCGGCACCA
Molecule: transfer RNA, 85 nt
Filed under: Deinococcus aquiradiocola
Lineage: Bacteria; Thermotogati; Deinococcota; Deinococci; Deinococcales; Deinococcaceae
Description: tRNA-Leu
Rfam family: tRNA
About the family: Transfer RNA (tRNA) molecules are approximately 80 nucleotides in length. Their secondary structure includes four short double-helical elements and three loops (D, anti-codon, and T loops). Further hydrogen bonds mediate the characteristic L-shaped molecular structure. tRNAs have two regions of fundamental functional importance: the anti-codon, which is responsible for specific mRNA codon recognition, and the 3' end, to which the tRNAs corresponding amino acid is attached (by aminoacyl-tRNA synthetases). tRNAs cope with the degeneracy of the genetic code in two manners: having more than one tRNA (with a specific anti-codon) for a particular amino acid; and 'wobble' base-pairing, i.e. permitting non-standard base-pairing at the 3rd anti-codon position.
Source: RNAcentral